AGAUUGAACGCUGGCGGCAGGCCUAACACAUGCAAGUCGAGCGGCAGCACGGGUACUUGUACCUGGUGGCGAGCGGCGGACGGGUGAGUAAUGCCUAGGAAUCUGCCUGGUAGUGGGGGAUAACGCUCGGAAACGGACGCUAAUACCGCAUACGUCCUACGGGAGAAAGCAGGGGACCUUCGGGCCUUGCGCUAUCAGAUGAGCCUAGGUCGGACUAGCUAGUUGGUGAGG
This 231-nucleotide ribosomal RNA is filed under the name uncultured soil bacterium. Its description in RNAcentral is "partial 16S ribosomal RNA". It matches the Rfam family "Bacterial small subunit ribosomal RNA", at positions 26 to 257 of the family's 1533-position model. The record is from RNAcentral.